UAACCAGAGAGGACCCUCACCGCGAUGGU
Molecule: small RNA, 29 nt
Filed under: Bombyx mori (domestic silkworm)
Lineage: Eukaryota; Metazoa; Arthropoda; Insecta; Lepidoptera; Bombycidae
Description: ovarian small RNA-18702
Source: RNAcentral